GUGGAAGCUAUGUAAGGACUGGAGAAACGCGUGUUCUCGUGCAAACAAACCCCAAAACAAAACAAGAGAUACUGCCUUUGGACUGGACUUUGUCCAGCCUGGAGUCACAGUGCCAGUCAAGAGCCACUCCAGAAUACUUGUGCCUGGAUCUUCACUAGGGUGUGACCUUUUAGCACGUCCGGCCUCUUCUGUGAUCCUGAAGUCACGUUUGACACUGGCGGCAUCCACAUCCGUUGAAUGGAAAGCUUCUCCAAGCAGGGGCCUCUCCCUUCCUCUUUACAGAGCCCAGCAUGCAGGAAGUGUGCAGCAUGUGUCUGUUCCUAGAUGGACAAAUGCAUCCUUGAACGAGGAGCUGGCACCUCUCUCUUGAAGAUCUGUUUAUUUCAUGUCAUGUAAGGCAUUGUUUCUGAAACUAUGGCUAAAUUUAGACUUUCCUUCUGCUGGGAGUCAUGGGAUGGGUUAGAAAUUUUUUCCUAGCCAGGCACAGUGGCUCACGCCUGUAAUCCCAGUGUUUUGGGAGGCUGAGGAGGGAGGGUGGCUUCAGCCCAAGAGUUCUAGACAAGUUUGGGCAACAUAGCAAGAUCCUGCCCUACAAAAAAUGAAAACAAAAAUAGCUGGGUGUGGCAGGAUGUGUCUGUAGUCUCAGCUACUUAGGAGGCUGAGGUGGGAGGAUUGCUUGAGCCCAGGAGGUGGAGCCUGCAGUAAGCUGAGAUUGUACCACUGCACUCCAGCCUGGAGUGGACGGCAAGACCCUGUUUCAAAUAAAAAAAAAAAAAAAAAAAAAAAAAAAAAAAAA
Molecule: long non-coding RNA, 796 nt
Filed under: Piliocolobus tephrosceles (Ugandan red Colobus)
Lineage: Eukaryota; Metazoa; Chordata; Mammalia; Primates; Cercopithecidae
Description: lncRNA (ENSPTEG00000022480.1)
Source: RNAcentral